This 376-nucleotide ribosomal RNA is filed under the name uncultured bacterium. Its description in RNAcentral is "bacterial SSU rRNA". It matches the Rfam family "Bacterial small subunit ribosomal RNA", at positions 524 to 898 of the family's 1533-position model. The record is from RNAcentral.
GACAGAGGUGCCAAGCGUUAGGCGGAAUCACUGGGCUUAAAGCGUGUGUAGGCAGAACGUUAAGUGCCUUGUGAAAUCCCACGGCUUAACCGUGGAACUGCUGGGCAUACUGGCGUUCUUGAGCCAGCCAGGGGUCGUCGGAACAAACGGUGGAGCGGUGAAAUGCGUAGAUAUCGUUUGGAACGCCAAAGGCGAAAGCAGACGACUGGGGCUGAGCUGACGCUGAGACACGAAAGCCAGGGGAGCAAACGGGAUUAGAUACCCCGGUAGUCCUGGCCCUAAACGAUGUCCACUGGAUCGCGGUCCCUCUGAAGGGUUCGCGGUCGGAGCAAAAGUGUUAAGUGGACCGCCUGGGAAGUACGGUCGCAAGGCUAAA